UAAGGAAUAUUGGUCAAUGGGGGCAACCCUGAACCAGCCAUGCCGCGUGCAGGAAGACGGCCCUACGGGUUGUAAACUGCUUUUAUACGGGAAUAAACCUCUUUACGUGUAAAGAGUUGAAUGUACUGUAAGAAUAAGGAUCGGCUAACUCCGUGCCAGCAGCCGCGGUAAUACGGAGGAUCCAAGCGUUAUCCGGAUUUAUUGGGUUUAAAGGGUGCGUAGGCGGCCUAUUAAGUCAGGGGUGAAAGACGGUGGCUCAACCAUCGCAGUGCCCUUGAUACUGAUAGGCUUGAUUACACUUGAGGUAGGCGGAAUGUGACAAGUAGCGGUGAAAUGCAUAGAUAUGUCACAGAACACCAAUUGCGAAGGCAGCUUACUAAGGUGUCAAUGACGCUGAGGCACGAAAGCGUGGGGAUCAAACAGG
Molecule: ribosomal RNA, 424 nt
Filed under: uncultured bacterium
Lineage: Bacteria
Description: bacterial SSU rRNA
Rfam family: Bacterial small subunit ribosomal RNA
Source: RNAcentral